CAUGCAAGUCGUGCGGUAACAGGCCCUUUGGGGUGCUGACGAGCGGCGGACGGCUGAGUAACGCGUAGGAAUGUGCCCCAAAGUGAGGGAUAACUGCCCGAAAGGGUGGCUAAUACCGCAUAUGGUCUUCGGAUUAAAGGAUUUAUCCGCUUUGGGAGCAGCCUGCGUAAGAUUAGAUUGUUGGUGAGGUAACGGCUCACCAAGUCGAUGAUCUUUAACUGGUUUGAGAAGAUGAUCAGUCAGACUGGAACUGAGAAACGGUCCAGACUCCUACGGGAGGCAGCAGUUAGGAAUAUUCCACAAUGGGCGAAAGCCUGAUGGAGCAACGCCGCGUGGAGGAUGAAGGCCCUCGGGUCGUAAACUUCUUUUCUCUGUGAUGAAUAUGACAGUAGCAGAGGAAUAAGGGUCUGCUAACUACGUGCCAGCAGCCGCGGUCAUACGUAGGACCCAAGCGUUAUUCGGAUUGAUUGGGCGUAAAGAGUUGCGUAGGUGGUUUGUUAAGCGAAUAGUGAAAUCUUGUGGCUCAACCAUAAGGCUAUUAUUCGAACUAGCAGACUCGAGAAUGGGAGAGGUAUCUGGAAUUUCUAAUGUANGGGUAAUAUCCGUAGAUAUUAGAAAGAACACCAAUGGCGUANGCANGAUACUGGCCCAUUUCUGACACUA
Molecule: ribosomal RNA, 663 nt
Filed under: uncultured bacterium
Lineage: Bacteria
Description: bacterial SSU rRNA
Rfam family: Bacterial small subunit ribosomal RNA
Source: RNAcentral